Molecule: ribosomal RNA, 253 nt
Filed under: uncultured bacterium
Lineage: Bacteria
Description: partial 16S ribosomal RNA
Rfam family: Bacterial small subunit ribosomal RNA
Source: RNAcentral
UACGUAUGGGGCAAGCGUUAUCCGGAUUCAUUGGGCGUAAAGCGCGCGUAGGCGGCUUGUUAAGUCAGAUGUGAAAACCGGGGGCUUAACCCGCGGCCUGCAUCUGAAACUGGCAGGCUUGAGUCUGGUAGAGGAAAGUGGAAUUCCCAGUGUAGCGGUGAAAUGCGCAGAUAUUGGGAGGAACACCAGUGGCGAAGGCGGCUUUCUGGGCCACGACUGACGCUGAGGCGCGAAAGCUAGGGGAGCGAACAGG